GGAGGACAUUUGGAGAACUUCCAGGGCUGCACCACUUUACAUUUUCACCAACAGUAUACAAGGAUUUCCUUUUCUCCACGUCUGUGAUUUGUCAUCCCUUGAUGUUUUGAAAGUAGCCAUUCUAACAGGUGUUUUAUGGUUUGAAGUCCUACUGAAAGAAGCUGAAGUUUUAAAACACAGUAAAAAGACGGCCAUCUGCAAACCGGGAAGCGAGCCCUUACCAGACAUCAAAACUGCAGGUGGAUCUGGCUAUUUUUGUUGCUGAAAUUGAAGAUGAAGAAACUUCCAUUCAACUUGUCAACAUGUAAUUGUGGAAAAUAGAAGGAUGUCUGUCUCUCAGGUUCCUGUGGUCCUCUUGUCAGAGAUAUGAGGAGUUCAAUUCUGCUCUCCAAAUAUUCACUCAUGUUUUGAAAAGUCAAGUGGAGGACAUAAUCAUCAUAGAAUACAAUAUUUGCU
This is a long non-coding RNA of Bos taurus (domestic cattle), 456 nucleotides long. Lineage: Eukaryota; Metazoa; Chordata; Mammalia; Artiodactyla; Bovidae. The record is from Ensembl.